GUUACUAGAUGAAGUGAAUGAAGAGAGAGAGAGGACAGCAGCCAAUACAAACACAAACCAGUUUAUAGUGGUUCGGAGCUAAUCCUUGCUCCUACGUCCACUCCCCAAGCUUCACUUGGGAGUUCACUAUAAUCUCUUGGAUUACAGCCGGUUGUUUUACAAGUUCACAACCCAACUUGUUGUUUUCGCGAGAUCACAACGAACUCGGGCGGUUUUCAUAGGCUCACCGACUAGAACCACCCAAUUGUUUUUCCAGGAUCACAAUCAAACCCUUACACCGUUGGUUUUAACUUCGGCUCACCAACUAACCUUACAACCCUUGAUUCAAUCUCCUGAUUGAAUCAAGUAAAAAAAAGUGUUUGGGAUUUCACUUAGAAAGCUUCUAAACAAGCAGAUGUGAUAAACAAUAAAUGCAAAGUAAAGGUUAGAAGCCCUCAAACA
RNAcentral lists this long non-coding RNA (441 nucleotides) under Phoenix dactylifera (date palm). RNAcentral's name for it is "long non-coding RNA (PDAC_LNC007852)". Lineage: Eukaryota; Viridiplantae; Streptophyta; Magnoliopsida; Arecales; Arecaceae. The record is from RNAcentral.